GGGGUUGUGGCUCGGUGUUAGAGCACUCACCUAGCACUGGUGGGGCCUGAGUUCGAUCCUCAGCACCACA
Molecule: transfer RNA, 70 nt
Filed under: Marmota monax (woodchuck)
Lineage: Eukaryota; Metazoa; Chordata; Mammalia; Rodentia; Sciuridae
Description: tRNA.Ala
Source: RNAcentral